GUGCUCACUUCAGCAACACAUAUACUGAAAUUGGAACAAUACAGAGAAGAUUAUCAUGGCCCAUGCACAAGGAUGACACACAAAUUCAUGAAGUAGUCCAUAUUUUG
Dipodomys ordii (Ord's kangaroo rat) is the source of this 107-nucleotide small nuclear RNA. The record is from Ensembl. Lineage: Eukaryota; Metazoa; Chordata; Mammalia; Rodentia; Heteromyidae.